Molecule: long non-coding RNA, 964 nt
Filed under: Nicotiana benthamiana
Lineage: Eukaryota; Viridiplantae; Streptophyta; Magnoliopsida; Solanales; Solanaceae
Description: long non-coding RNA (NBEN_LNC009547)
Source: RNAcentral
GCCCUUUUUGCCCCCUUCCCCCACCCCAAAACCUAUUCUUCUUCCUUUUACCCCAUCUCCCCCUCACCUCCUUUCACUUAUGUCUUCCCAAAUACAGAAUCCUCAACCCAUCUUCGUCCGUCAUCUUUUCCCAAAAAUAUAACCCUCACCCCUCCUUUCACUUAUGUCUUCCACCUAAUCGUCAUGACUUUAUCUAACCGAAUCUCGAUUGGAGGUUCAAGAUCUUCUUGAACUCGUAAGGAUUUGGGCAGUCGAAUUUUGAUACCAGGUCAGGCCUGGAGAGACUUUCUUUGGGAAAAGAAGUGGUGAAGGAAUUUGAUAAUGAAUCCGAGUAAGGCAAUGAAGGAGUCGUAAUAGUCGUCAGAAUUGGUGCUGGAGAUGACCCGAUCGACCUAGUGGCAGAGCAUCUGCUUGAGGACCAAAGAGUUGAACCAUCUGGAAAUGGCAAGAUAUCGAAUUAGGGCUUUGAUGUCAGAUAUUUGGUUGAAAAUCAGGUGUAUAAGCAGGACAGGUAUCCGAUAAACCUGUCGGAGCUAUCCAACUCGAGCUUCAUUAGCCAGUUGUAAAAUCAUUUUUCUUCUGAAAACAAGAAAGAAAAAUUUGAUAAAAAGCCUAACACACCCAAAUACAACUAAAAUACACGUAAUUUUCCAUGUGAACCGGAGGUGUCUAAUUGAUGUACUUUAACAUCCAUUUGAAGUGUCUAAAUAGCAAAUGGGUUAAUUGAAGUGUUUGCAUGAUACGUUGAGGAUAAUCUAACCGAGCCUUUUAUGUAUUUGUCGAAUUAAGAACCAUAUGAAAUUGGAAGAUGUCUCUUUAUUGGCAUGAUAGAAUUUCAUAAGUUUAUUGGUCCUAUAACAACUUAGAGACUAAAUUCAUACGAGAAAGAUGGAUGUUUGUUCUUGAGAUAUAAAAAUACACUGAUCUUGAAACUUGCAGGAUUCACUAUGCUACUUGAAUAUUA